This 237-nucleotide ribosomal RNA is filed under the name uncultured bacterium. RNAcentral's name for it is "partial 16S ribosomal RNA". It matches the Rfam family "Bacterial small subunit ribosomal RNA", at positions 104 to 334 of the family's 1533-position model. The record is from RNAcentral.
CGGGGUGGAGGGUAAGUAGUACUGGGAAAACCUGACUGGAGGGGGGAGGUAACGGGUAGAAAGGAAGACUAAUACCGCAUAACGUCGCAAGACCAAAGAGGGGGACCUUCGGGCCUCUUGCCAUCGGAUGUGCCCAGAUGGGAUUAGCUAGUAGGUGGGGUAACGGCUCACCUAGGCGACGAUCCCUAGCUGGUCUGAGAGGAUGACCAGCCACACUGGAACUGAGACACGGUCCAG